This 409-nucleotide ribosomal RNA is filed under the name Enterobacter sp. RNAcentral describes it as "bacterial SSU rRNA". It matches the Rfam family "Bacterial small subunit ribosomal RNA", at positions 974 to 1384 of the family's 1533-position model. Lineage: Bacteria; Pseudomonadati; Pseudomonadota; Gammaproteobacteria; Enterobacterales; Enterobacteriaceae. The record is from RNAcentral.
CCUACUCUUGACAUCCAGAGAACUUAGCAGAGAUGCUUUGGUGCCUUCGGGAACUCUGAGACAGGUGCUGCAUGGCUGUCGUCAGCUCGUGUUGUGAAAUGUUGGGUUAAGUCCCGCAACGAGCGCAACCCUUAUCCUUUGUUGCCAGCGGUUCGCCGGGAACUCAAAGGAGACUGCCAGUGAUAAACUGGAGGAAGGUGGGGAUGACGUCAAGUCAUCAUGGCCCUUACGAGUAGGGCUACACACGUGCUACAAUGGCGCAUACAAAGAGAAGCGACCUCGCGAGAGCAAGCGGACCUCAUAAAGUGCGUCGUAGUCCGGAUUGGAGUCUGCAACUCGACUCCAUGAAGUCGGAAUCGCUAGUAAUCGUGGAUCAGAAUGCCACGGUGAAUACGUUCCCGGGCCUUGU